This is a non-coding RNA of Podarcis lilfordi (Lilford's wall lizard), 72 nucleotides long. Lineage: Eukaryota; Metazoa; Chordata; Lepidosauria; Squamata; Lacertidae. The record is from the annotation of a GenBank genome assembly.
UCCAGGAUAGCUCCGUUGGUAGAGCAUGAGACCGCUAAUCUCAGGGACAUGGGUUCAAGCCUCAAACGGGAA